Molecule: non-coding RNA, 85 nt
Organism: Felis catus (domestic cat)
Lineage: Eukaryota; Metazoa; Chordata; Mammalia; Carnivora; Felidae
Source: Rfam
GCCUGGGUGGCUCAGUCAGUUGAGCAUCUGACUUCAGCUCAGGUCAUGAUCUCGUGGUCUGUGAGCUCAAGCCCCGCGUCAGGCU